Molecule: long non-coding RNA, 2471 nt
Filed under: Mustela putorius furo (domestic ferret)
Lineage: Eukaryota; Metazoa; Chordata; Mammalia; Carnivora; Mustelidae
Description: lncRNA (ENSMPUG00000027618.1)
Source: RNAcentral
GCUAGCACCCUCUCUGUCUGGGCUUCCACAGGGAGUGCCCCAACCCUGGCCUUGACCGGUUCUGCCUCCCUGUCAGCACUUCUCAGCUAAGCCGUUCCACCCUACUCUCUGUUCUGCCCUACCGGAGAAGAGAGGAAGCCUCUGUGCCUCCCAGGCGGGAUCAGAUUCCAGAUUGUUUGUAAUGAAAACACACCAAGCCAAGCAAACAAAGCAGAUGCUCCCUUGGCUGUGCUUAUUCUCCUGUCUCACUGUGGACAUUUCAUUGCUUCUGGCCACGUCUGCAGGCGAGUGCCCAGGGACCUUCCUGCCUGUUGUUGGGGUGCAUCAGCCUGGGCUUUUGUGGCAAGGACACAGGACCAAAGAAAAAACAAGAAAAAGAACACUGAGCGCCACGAGGCUCAGACUCCACUUUUGGAUGGGAAGAGAACUCCCGGGUGACCUUGGAAAAAAACCCUUCUCUGGCCGCCCGGCCAGCCACACGAUUUCCCUCGCAGAGCAGAACAAAUGUGAGUAGAUGGAGUUUAACUUUGGGAGAAGAAAUGUAAAAAAUAAAAUAAUUAUGGGGUGGGUGUGGGAUACAGCUUGAGAAUGAGUAAGAUUAAGAAGCAACUCAGAUGCCUAAUUAAAGAGCCAAAAAUAAAAAGCAGUAGCAGACUGGGUAUGGCUCUGGCGAUAUAUAUACACAUUUAUAUAUACACAGGGCUCCGAAAUACUACUGGCUUCCCUUCUCAGCAGACUUGACCUGCAUUUCCUUCCCGUGUUGGAGAGAAGAUAAUAAGGACUGGCUAGAGUGACGUUUUCCAAGCAUGCCCCAUGCGCCCAGCUCAGUGCAAAGUGGCAUGUGCCCCCAAGCACAGAUAGCAUCCUUUUCCCACUGGCCUAGCUUCUCUGAGCUUCAUUGUUUCCUCCUGCGAAAUGAAGAUCAUCACACUGCCCGCCUCUGAGCGCUUUUGUGACAAUUGCACAGGACGAGCACAAAACCAAGGGCCUGGCACCUCGCGGGGCCUGGGUGAAUGGAUCAUGAUUAUUCUUACAGUUGUUUGUUUCCAUAGGUAACUCACAUUCAAAAUGUUGAAAACUGAGCUUAUUAUCUUCCCCAUUAGGCCUGUCCUUGCUGAUUUCACAAGGAAUCAUCAUGUUCUCAAUUUUCUUCUGCCCCAGCACCCAGUUGCUCACUGAGUUCUUCUAAUUCUGCUUUUCCCAUAUCCCUUGAUGACAUCCUUAUCUCAUGGCUCACUGCCUUGGUUCCACCUGGUUCAAACCCUAAUUUCUUCUCUGUACUGCUAUGGUUUCUUCCUAAUGGGUUCCAGGGGGCACACUAAUUUCCCCCGCUUGGCCCCCGACUCCUCUCCGUUCUCACACUACUGCCUUAUGAAUCCUGCCUUACGAACAUGCCCAUUCUUUGCUUCCAGGCCACCGGUGGCUCUCUCUCUCUCUUAGCUAGAAGAUUAAGAGCAAAUUGUAAAAUGCAACGUAAAGUUGGCUUGUCCCCUCCCCAGCCUCACCUACCCUUCCAGGGCUCACUCUGGUCCAGAGCUCUGGGAUACUUGCUUUGCAUUAACAUCACCUGGGACCAACAAUGCCAAUGCCUGGGCCCUCUGACAGCUAAUCACGACAGAAUCUCUGGGGGUGGGCCCCAGGCAGGGGUAUAAUUUCAGAGCUUUUUGGGUGAUUCUAAGGUGCUGCUAAGCCUGAGAACCACUGUCCCCACCACACCCGAUACUCUCUGGAGCCUUUACCCCGUGUGUGUGUGUGUGUGUGUGUCUCCUGAUGCCUGGAAAGCUUUUCUCAGCCGUAUCCACCUGCAGUAUUUGCCCUAUUGUUUGAGAUGUAGCUAAAGCUCCUACUUGCAGGAAGUCUCCCUGGUUUCCCAUGAAGAUGCUCCCACUCCCCCUGACAUUGCCCUCUAUCAUGACUUAAUUAAUUUCCCCCUCUGCCUUCAUUCAGUUUUUAUCUGGAUUCCCUUUUUAGUACUUGGCUGGUAUUUCUGCUGUAAGGUUUGCUUCAUUUGGCUUGGAUUGCAGUCAGCUGUCUACAUGAUCUUCUAUCACCUCUCUCCAGCAUUCUGGCCUUAUUUCCUGCCACUUGUCACCUCAAGCACUCACUGUAGCCCCGCAGGCCCUCUGCCCAUUCCUGGACCACAAAGAGGCCCUGCCUCAGGGCCUUAGUAUAUGCUCUUCCCUCACAGUCAUAUUCUUCCUCCAUAUGUACAUAAGCUCAUUCAUUUCUUCCUCCACAUGUCAACUCACAGAAAGCCUUCCUUACUCAUAUUUCCACCAUGCUGUGUCUCUCAUCCUGUUUCUUUUGUCCUCAGAGUCCUUCUCAUCACUGACAUAUCACUGUUGCUUUUUGUUUAUUCUUUUUUCGUCUGCCUCCCACCAUUGCAUGUGAGCUCCAUGAGGACAGGGACUCUGUGGUGUUCAUUACUGUAUCUCCAGUGUCCAGAAUAGUCCUUGGCAUGUAGAAAGCAC